RNAcentral lists this ribosomal RNA (392 nucleotides) under Plagiostriata sp. RNAcentral describes it as "partial small subunit ribosomal RNA". It matches the Rfam family "Eukaryotic small subunit ribosomal RNA", at positions 582 to 975 of the family's 1831-position model. The record is from RNAcentral. Lineage: Eukaryota; Bacillariophyta; Fragilariophyceae; Staurosirales; Staurosiraceae.
AUUCCAGCUCCAAUAGCGUAUAUUAAAGUUGUUGCAGUUAAAAAGCUCGUAGUUGGAUUUGUGGUUGGAGCGGGUCGGUCCGACACUCUGUGUGGGUACUUGACUGUCUCCGUCCAUCCUUGGGUGGAACCUGUGUGGCAUUAGGUUGUCGUGCAGGGGAUGCCCAUCUUUUACUGUGAAUAAAUUAGAGUGUUCAAAGCAGGCUUACGCCGUUGAAUAUGCUAGCAUGGAAUAAUAAGAUAGGACCUUGGUACUAUUUUGUUGGUUUGCGCACCGAGGUAAUGAUUAAUAGGGACAGUUGGGGGUAUUCGUAUUGCACUGUCAGAGGUGAAAUUCUUGGAUUUUUGCAAGACGAACGACUGCGAAAGCAUUUACCAAGGAUGUUUUCAUUA